GAUGAACGCUGGCGGCGUGCCUAAUACAUGCAAGUCGAGCGAACGGACGAGAAGCUUGCUUCUCUGAUGUUAGCGGCGGACGGGUGAGUAACACGUGGAUAACCUACCUAUAAGACUGGGAUAACUUCGGGAAACCGGAGCUAAUACCGGAUAAUAUUUUGAACCGCAUGGUUCAAAAGUGAAAGACGGUCUUGCUGUCACUUAUAGAUGGAUCCGCGCUGCAUUAGCUAGUUGGUAAGGUAACGGCUUACCAAGGCAACGAUGCAUAGCCGACCUGAGAGGGUGAUCGGCCACACUGGAACUGAGACACGGUCCAGACUCCUACGGGAGGCAGCAGUAGGGAAUCUUCCGCAAAGGGCGAAAACCUGACGGAGCAACGCCGCGUGAGUGAUGAAGGUCUUCGGAUCGUAAAACUCUGUUAUUAGGGAAGAACAUAUGUGUAAGUAACUGUGCACAUCUUGACGGUACCUAAUCAGAAAGCCACGGCUAACUACGUG
RNAcentral lists this ribosomal RNA (497 nucleotides) under uncultured bacterium. RNAcentral's name for it is "partial 16S ribosomal RNA". It matches the Rfam family "Bacterial small subunit ribosomal RNA", at positions 28 to 507 of the family's 1533-position model. The record is from RNAcentral.